UAUUCUACUGUGUUUAUUCAAUAAAACACCAUUCAUGCGCGUCACUAUUAGACCGACGGAAGCCGGCGCUCUUCGGAGUGUCGUGCAAAUUCCGAAUGUAGCCAAAGGCCCCGUCAUCUAAUUAGUGACGCGUAUGAAUGGAUCAACAAGAUUCCUUCUGUGACUAUCUACUAUCUAGCGUAACCACAGCCAAGGGAACGGGCUUGGCAAAAUCAGCGGGGAAAGAAGACCCUGUUGAGCUUGACUCUAGUCUGACUCUGUGAA
This 264-nucleotide non-coding RNA is filed under the name Trichinella sp. T8. RNAcentral's name for it is "Eukaryotic large subunit ribosomal RNA". It matches the Rfam family "Eukaryotic large subunit ribosomal RNA", at positions 2255 to 2445 of the family's 3401-position model. The record is from Rfam by way of RNAcentral. Lineage: Eukaryota; Metazoa; Nematoda; Enoplea; Trichinellida; Trichinellidae.